RNAcentral lists this transfer RNA (69 nucleotides) under Ictidomys tridecemlineatus (thirteen-lined ground squirrel). Its description in RNAcentral is "Spermophilus tridecemlineatus (thirteen-lined ground squirrel) tRNA". It matches the Rfam family "tRNA". From Rfam's summary of the family: Transfer RNA (tRNA) molecules are approximately 80 nucleotides in length. Their secondary structure includes four short double-helical elements and three loops (D, anti-codon, and T loops). Further hydrogen bonds mediate the characteristic L-shaped molecular structure. tRNAs have two regions of fundamental functional importance: the anti-codon, which is responsible for specific mRNA codon recognition, and the 3' end, to which the tRNAs corresponding amino acid is attached (by aminoacyl-tRNA synthetases). tRNAs cope with the degeneracy of the genetic code in two manners: having more than one tRNA (with a specific anti-codon) for a particular amino acid; and 'wobble' base-pairing, i.e. permitting non-standard base-pairing at the 3rd anti-codon position. Lineage: Eukaryota; Metazoa; Chordata; Mammalia; Rodentia; Sciuridae. The record is from Rfam by way of RNAcentral.
GGUAUCGUGGCUCAGUGGUAGAGUGCUUGCCUAGCACGUGUGAGGCCCUGGGUUCGAUUCUCAGCACCA